This 497-nucleotide ribosomal RNA is filed under the name uncultured bacterium. Its description in RNAcentral is "partial 16S ribosomal RNA". It matches the Rfam family "Bacterial small subunit ribosomal RNA", at positions 28 to 507 of the family's 1533-position model. The record is from RNAcentral.
GACGAACGCUGGCGGCGUGCCUAAUACAUGCAAGUUGAGCGCUGAAGGUUGGUACUUGUACCAACUGGAUGAGCAGCGAACGGGUGAGUAACGCGUGGGGAAUCUGCCUUUGAGCGGGGGACAACAUUUGGAAACGAAUGCUAAUACCGCAUAAAAACUUUAAACACAAGUUUUAAGUUUGAAAGAUGCAAUUGCAUCACUCAAAGAUGAUCCCGCGUUGUAUUAGCUAGUUGGUGAGGUAAAGGCUCACCAAGGCGAUGAUACAUAGCCGACCUGAGAGGGUGAUCGGCCACAUUGGGACUGAGACACGGCCCAAACUCCUACGGGAGGCAGCAGUAGGGAAUCUUCGGCAAUGGACGAAAGUCCGACCGAGCAACGCCGCGUGAGUGAAGAAGGUUUUCGGAUCGUAAAACUCUGUUGGUAGAGAAGAACGUUGGUGAGAGUGGAAAGCUCAUCAAGUGACGGUAACUACCCAGAAAGGGACGGCUAACUACGUG